RNAcentral lists this transfer RNA (71 nucleotides) under Robiginitomaculum sp. RNAcentral's name for it is "tRNA-OTHER". It matches the Rfam family "tRNA". Rfam says of the family: Transfer RNA (tRNA) molecules are approximately 80 nucleotides in length. Their secondary structure includes four short double-helical elements and three loops (D, anti-codon, and T loops). Further hydrogen bonds mediate the characteristic L-shaped molecular structure. tRNAs have two regions of fundamental functional importance: the anti-codon, which is responsible for specific mRNA codon recognition, and the 3' end, to which the tRNAs corresponding amino acid is attached (by aminoacyl-tRNA synthetases). tRNAs cope with the degeneracy of the genetic code in two manners: having more than one tRNA (with a specific anti-codon) for a particular amino acid; and 'wobble' base-pairing, i.e. permitting non-standard base-pairing at the 3rd anti-codon position. Lineage: Bacteria; Pseudomonadati; Pseudomonadota; Alphaproteobacteria; Maricaulales; Robiginitomaculaceae. The record is from RNAcentral.
GUGGAUAUAGCCAAACGGUAAGGCAAUAGUUUUAGGACUAUGAAUGUUGGUUCGAUUCCAACUAUCUCGCA